CACAGCGUUGUAAGUGAGGAUGUGACUGACAGAAGACGUGGACUGCGCGCGUCCAGGAGGUGACCUGCCGAAGGUCAGUCCGAGAGACAACUCGUGGAGGGCAGAGCAAAGACAGCACUGGCGGAGCACGCACUAUGCAAAGAACACCAUAAUCUAAGGAACUAACCUCAUGGACCCCUGUCUGGAAUAAGAUGGAACAUUUGAAAUGUGCAACAGAACAUCAAAGAACCUUGUUGGCCAACCUGCCUGUCAUACAGUGUAUUCUGUGAGAAACAGUGAGAUACUGAAUGGAACAGGAAAGAUGUUGGGUUCCAGAGCCAACAGCCAAGAAAGAAUUCUCAAGACAUCUUUUGCCGUUGCCAGGAAUGGCCAGCAAUCCUUGUACUGACGGAUGAAAGAUUACUCCAGACUUUGCUGUGAAAGAGAG
This is a long non-coding RNA of Zalophus californianus (California sea lion), 427 nucleotides long. RefSeq lists it as uncharacterized. The transcript has 3 exons. The record is from RefSeq and is a predicted model, not a curated record. Lineage: Eukaryota; Metazoa; Chordata; Mammalia; Carnivora; Otariidae.